AGGUGAGCUCACACAGGGGUGAGUGUGGGAAGUAGGAGCUGUAGGAUGAGGUAAAGUGGGUGAUGAUGGAGGGAGGUGAGUUUGGACGCUAUGAACUCUGUUUCCACACUGCCACAGGUGAAAGAAUGUCUGUAAACGAGAAACAGAAGACACUGCUGCUUUCCCAGUUCGCCUCUGGACCAGGACACUGAAGCACAUGUUAGGAAAAGAAGAAGUUGUGAGCUUUUCACGGUGCCCGUGUUUUAAAACAUAUCCUUUACAUCGGAGACCACACAGCGCUGAGUUCCCAACUCUGCACUGACUCAUCACUAUGUCCAUGCAAACUUGUGGUCCCUCUGGGAGAGGAAGAAGAGGCUCUAGUGCAAACUUGGGAGUCUCUACAGCCCUGAAGAAUGCCCCAGAUCAGUUAGUCUACCUGACCACACACCACAGACGGAGAAAUCACGGGCCGGUGAGAAAUGCUGUCUUGAUCGGACUGGUUUUGCGUCCUGUUGUUUCCCCAGUCUACCGCCCCUCUUACUCUGCUGGGGCGAGAGUAUGCAAAGAACUCACGUCUCCUGUCUCUACUCAUGAAGUAAAUGCGAUCCUUUCUGAGGACAUACAGUGUCAGCCAUCUAUCUCUGUAGAGCUGCACUUCAUAUUCAGGUGUAUAUGACUGGAUUCUGCAGGCAAAUGCUCUAUCACUGAGCGAUAUGAUAUCUCUUGUUUUUAUAAUUUAUUUUUACUUCAUGUUCAUUGGUGUUUUGCCUACAUGUAUGUCUGUGUGAGGGUGUCAGAAGCUCUGGAACUGGAAUCACAGACAGGUGUGAGGUGGAAUUGAGCCCGGGUCCUUUGGAAGAAGAGCCUGUACUCUUAACUGCUGAGCCAUCUCUCCAGCCCCAUGACUGUAUUCUGGAGGACGAUUCUUACACGUUAAACUGAAAUUUAUGGAAUUAUCAGUGGGAGGAAAUAUAGCAGUAUAGCAGUC
Molecule: long non-coding RNA, 967 nt
Organism: Mesocricetus auratus (golden hamster)
Lineage: Eukaryota; Metazoa; Chordata; Mammalia; Rodentia; Cricetidae
Exons: 2
Source: RefSeq, a predicted model, not a curated record